CUACGGGUCGCACCAGUGGGGAAUAUUGCACAAUGGACGCAAGCCUGAUGCAGCCAUGCCGCGUGUAUGAAGAAGGCCUUCGGGUUGUAAAGUACUUUCAGCGGGGAGGAAGGGAGUAAAGUUAAUACCUUUGCUCAUUGACGUUACCCGCAGAAGAAGCGCCGGCUAACUCCGUGCCAGCAGCCGCGGUAAUACGGAGGGUGCAAGCGUUAAUCGGAAUUACUGGGCGUAAAGCGCACGCAGGCGGUUUGUUAAGUCAGAUGUGAAAUCCCCGGGCUCAACCUGGGAACUGCAUCUGAUACUGGCAAGCUUGAGUCUCGUAGAGGGGGGUAGAAUUCCAGGUGUAGCGGUGAAAUGCGUAGAGAUCUGGAGGAAUACCGGUGGCGAAGGCGGCCCCCUGGACGAAGACUGACGCUCAGGUGCGAAAGCGUGGGGAGCAAACAGGAUUAGAUACCCGAGUAGUC
RNAcentral lists this ribosomal RNA (464 nucleotides) under uncultured bacterium. RNAcentral's name for it is "partial 16S ribosomal RNA". It matches the Rfam family "Bacterial small subunit ribosomal RNA", at positions 339 to 795 of the family's 1533-position model. The record is from RNAcentral.